RNAcentral lists this ribosomal RNA (404 nucleotides) under uncultured bacterium. Its description in RNAcentral is "bacterial SSU rRNA". It matches the Rfam family "Bacterial small subunit ribosomal RNA", at positions 355 to 776 of the family's 1533-position model. The record is from RNAcentral.
UGGGGAAUCUUGCACAAUGGAGGAAACUCUGAUGCAGCGAUGCCGCGUGAGUGAAGAAGGCCCUUGGGUUGUAAAGCUCUUUUGUCGGGAAAGAUAAUGACUGUACCCGAAGAAUAAGGUCCGGCUAACUUCGUGCCAGCAGCCGCGGUAAUACGAAGGGACCUAGCGUAAUUCGGAAUUACUGGGCGUAAAGCGCGCGUAGGCGGUUAAGUAAGUUAAUUGUGAAAGCCCAAAGCUCAACUUUGGAAUUGCAAUUAAAACUAUUUAGCUAGAGUUUAUCAGAGGAAAGCGGAAUACAUAGUGUAGAGGUGAAAUUCGUAGAUAUUAUGUAGAACACCAGUUGCGAAGGCGGCUUUCUGGGAUAACACUGACGCUGAGGUGCGAAAGUAUGGGUAGCGAAGAGG